Molecule: ribosomal RNA, 425 nt
Filed under: uncultured archaeon
Lineage: Archaea
Description: partial 16S ribosomal RNA
Source: RNAcentral
UCAAGUUUCAGCCUUGCGACCGUACUCCCCAGGCGGCGAGCUUAACGGCUUCCCUGCGACACUCCGAUCGCGAACUGCGAUCGGAUCAUCUAGCUCGCAUCGUUUACGGCUGGGACUACCCGGGUAUCUAAUCCGCUUCGCUCCCCCAGCUUUCAUCCCUCACCGUCGAGCGCGUUCUGGCGGACCGCCUUCGCCACUGGUGGUCUUCCGCAGAUCAAAGGAUUUUACCCCUACCUGCGGAGUACCGUCCGCCUCUCUCGCCUCCUAGUCUCGCGGUAUCUCCUGCGGCCCAACCGUUAAGCGGUUGAAUUUAACAGGAGACCUACGAAACCGGCUACGGAUGCUUUAGGCCCAAUAAUCGUCCCGACCACUCGAGGAGCUGGUAUUACCGCGGCGGCUGACACCAGACUUGCCCUCCCCUUAUU